This 387-nucleotide unclassified non-coding RNA is filed under the name Hevea brasiliensis (rubber tree). The record is from RNAcentral. Lineage: Eukaryota; Viridiplantae; Streptophyta; Magnoliopsida; Malpighiales; Euphorbiaceae.
GAUAAAUGCUACCUCCUGGUCCUACCGUAUCGACUCCACCUCCAGCCACAGCUUGUGACUGUUGCAGAAGUGGGUGAACUGUUCCUGGAGUUACUGCUUGUGCUGGGUGAUAGAUACUGGCAAAUGUACCAUGCCCUGUCUGUGUUGGGGUAAAGGUCACAUGUUGACCCUGUGGUGGAAGGUUGUAGAAUGAAUUCGUGGGCAAGCUCGACAUGUCUCUUCCGGGCGCACCAAUCCAUACAGCCGAACCUUCACUCUGUGGUCCAGUGAUGUAUACACUAUUUUCCUUAAACUGCGACGCACCAAGGUCCUCAUUAGCAGAGAUAUUUCCAGCUGGUGCAGCAGUGCUAGGGCUGUAACCAGAUGCUGAAGAGCCAUAAGGGCCAU